Molecule: transfer RNA, 72 nt
Filed under: Hyloxalus subpunctatus (Bogota rocket frog)
Lineage: Eukaryota; Metazoa; Chordata; Amphibia; Anura; Dendrobatidae
Description: tRNA-Ile
Rfam family: tRNA
About the family: Transfer RNA (tRNA) molecules are approximately 80 nucleotides in length. Their secondary structure includes four short double-helical elements and three loops (D, anti-codon, and T loops).
Source: RNAcentral
GGAAGUGUGCCUGAAAAAUUAAGGGCCUCCUUGAUAGGGAGUACUAUAGGGGUUAAAAUCCCCUCGCUUCCU